UAAGUACCGCAUAUGCUCUACGGAGGACAGUGGGGGACUCGCAAGGGCCUCACGCUAUGGGAGCGGCCGAUGUCCGAUAAGCUUGUUGGCGGGGUAAUGGCCCACCAAGGCGACGAAUCGGUAGCUGGUCUGAGAGGAUGAUCAGCCACACUGGGACUGAGACACGGCCCAGACUCCUACGGGAGGCAGCAGUGGGGAAUUUUUGGACAAUGGGGGCAACCCUGAUCCAGCCAUGCCGCGUGCGGGAAGAGGGCCUUCGGGGUUGUAAACCGUUUUGGUCGGAAAGAAAAGGCGCCACCUAAUACGGGGCGCUCUUGCACGGGUACCCGGGCAGAAUAAGCACCGGGUAAACUUACGUGCCCAGCAGCCGCGGGUAAUA
This 379-nucleotide ribosomal RNA is filed under the name uncultured bacterium. RNAcentral describes it as "bacterial SSU rRNA". It matches the Rfam family "Bacterial small subunit ribosomal RNA", at positions 163 to 525 of the family's 1533-position model. The record is from RNAcentral.